RNAcentral lists this long non-coding RNA (1370 nucleotides) under Sorghum bicolor (sorghum). RNAcentral's name for it is "long non-coding RNA (SBIC_LNC009762)". The record is from RNAcentral. Lineage: Eukaryota; Viridiplantae; Streptophyta; Magnoliopsida; Poales; Poaceae.
GCCCCUUGAUCCCUCAUUCUACUCAUGUCCUGGUCUGGUUGAUUUGAUAUGGAAGUAGUGAAACUAAUGAAUAUUCUAACACAAAGUAACAUUGGUUGUUUUUUUAGGAAAUGUAACAUCGGUUGUUAAAAAAGGAUAGAGAUGAAUGAGAUAUACAGUUGUAUAGUUCAUCACUUUUCAUUUGAAAGUCAUCUUAUUUGGCAUGAAAAUAUAAUGGUUAUAGAUUGCCCUCGUAGUUGAAGAUCCACACGGAUGUAAAUUUCCUCUCCACCAUUACUAUGUAGUACAAAAACCCUUGAUGUUACAGAAAAACAUUCUUUUAAAAUGGUAUAAUGUGCUUUCAUUUCUAGUAGAGGAGGAUGUGCUUGCGAAGGUGGCCUAUCGUAGCCCCUUUGGGCCUAGGAAAUAGCAGCAUCUCCUGUAAAGUCCGGACAAGUGCAUUGCAUCGGAGUAGCCGACUUGACACUAUCACUACUACACACAUUCUUAACGAGGCGGACAAAAAGGAUUUAUUGAGGCAGUUUUUGCAACCGCUUUGGAUCAAAGGUCAUGGUUAAUAUGAUCUUUUUCAAUAUAGUUUGCUGCCCGCCUCAGUAAAUCAAAUAAAAAAGAAAAAUCCAUGGAUAAGCUCGCCGAGCCCAUCCACAGACCCGCCAAGCCCAUCCACCUGCCGCCGCGGCACAGCUCGCUGGCUCUACAUGUCGUCGUAGCCACUCGCGAAUCUGGGCACCCACCACCGGAUCCGGACACCCCUUCGCUAGAUCAAGACACCUGCUCGCCAGAGAAGGAGGGGAGGCUAGAUCCGCUUCCAAGGAUAUGCAGCAGCACCGUCGCAGCGGGAUCCGCCCCCGUUGGGCGUCAAUCUGCGAUGAGGAGUGGAUCUGAGAGGAGAGAGAGGGGUAAGUGACAUACCUCUGCCCAUGCGAGAUCCAUCAAGAGGAGGGGGGUGUUGCACUUGAUGCCGCCAUUGAUGAUGUUGGGUGAUGAUGCCGUAGCCCGACAGCCUCUUGGCCACCUCAUCUCCGGCCGAAGGGGUCCACUACUUGGUUAUGACUUCGCCACCAUACGCUGCCUACCCACGGAGCUCCACAUGCCGACAACAAAGGGAGAGGAGGAGGCCAACCGCGUGCUACUGGGAGGGGAGAGGAGGGGGGCCCGAGAGGAAGGGGAGGGGUGCCUGACGAGAGGAGCGUCGUGACGAGAGGAGUCGUGUUGGGCAGUUGUGGAAGGGUGAGAGGAGUGCGGCUGAGUAAAGUAAGGAGAGGAUGAGGGAGUAAAAUCCUAAGUCAGUGAUUUUAUACCUGUUGCACCUAUCGGGCCUCAUAUGGGCCUCUUGGGCCUCGAUUAAUUGGGCUAUUUCUAGAGGCGGC